RNAcentral lists this ribosomal RNA (253 nucleotides) under uncultured bacterium. RNAcentral describes it as "partial 16S ribosomal RNA". It matches the Rfam family "Bacterial small subunit ribosomal RNA", at positions 524 to 776 of the family's 1533-position model. The record is from RNAcentral.
UACGGAGGAUGCAAGCGUUAUCCGGAAUGAUUGGGCGUAAAGCGUCCGCAGGUGGCGAUGUAAGUCUGCUGUUAAAGAGCAAAGCUUAACUUUGUAAAAGCAGUGGAAACUACAUCGCUAGAGUGCGUUCGGGGCAGAGGGAAUUCCUGGUGUAGCGGUGAAAUGCGUAGAGAUCAGGAAGAACACCGGUGGCGAAGGCGCUCUGCUAGGCCGCAACUGACACUGAGACGCGAAAGCCAGGGGAGCGAACGGG